Molecule: RNA transcript, 3331 nt
Organism: Sorex araneus (European shrew)
Lineage: Eukaryota; Metazoa; Chordata; Mammalia; Eulipotyphla; Soricidae
Gene: TMEM231
Gene name: transmembrane protein 231
Exons: 7
Source: RefSeq, a predicted model, not a curated record
CAUGGCGACCAAGGCUAUGGCAACCAAGAGAAGCCAAAUUUGUUCGUGCGGCUGGAGCGCCCGCCGGCUUCCACGCCGAUGGCUCUCUACGAGCUCUUCUCUCACCCCGCCGAGCGCGGCUACCGCGCGGGCCUCUGCUCCAAGGCCGCGCUGUUCCUGCUGCUGGCCGCCGUGCUCACCUACAUCCCGCCGCUGCUGGUGGCCUUCCGGAGCCACGGCUUCUGGCCCAAGCGCAGCAGCUACGAGGAGCAGCCGAGCGUGCGCUUCCAGCACCAGGUGCUGCUCGUGGCCCUGCUGGCGCCCGGCAGCGACGGCUUCCUGGCCUGGAGCACGUUUCCCGCCUUCAACCGCCUGCAGGGCGAUCACCUGCGCAUCCCGCUCGUCUCGGCCAGAGAAGAGGACCGGAACCAGGACGGGAAGCCGGACGUGCUGCACUUUAGGCUGGAGCUGCCGCUGCGGGCGGCAGAGCACGUGCUGGGCGUGCAGCUCAUCCUGACGUUUUCCUACCAGCUGCACAGGAUGUCCAUGUUCGUGAUGCAGAGCAUGGCUUACCUGCAGUCGUCCUUCGCCGUGCCCGGCGCCCAGGUGUACGUGAACGGAGAGCUGAGACUGCAGCAGAAGCAGCCGCUCGGCUCCAGCGGCCUGGACACGCGCUACAACGUGUCGGUCAUCAACGGGACCAGCCCCUUUGCCUGGGACUAUGACCUGACCCGCAUCGUCGCCGCCUACCAGGAGAGGAACGUCACCACUGUCCUGACUGUCCCCAACCCCGUCUGGCUGGUGGGCAGGGCCGCCGAGGCUCCAUUUGUGAUUGAUGCUGUGAUCCGAUACCCGUUGGAAGUCAUCGAAUAUCCUUUCAGUUAAAGAGCACCUGUGGCUCAGUUUCUGCAAAGAGCAUUUCUUGGUUGUCCCAAGAAGGAACGGAGGCCUGGCUCAGACUCCUUAACUGUGUACCUAUCGCCCAGGAUUCUGGGAAAUGAUCAAAUUCGCCUGGAUCCAGUAUGUCAGCAUCCUGCUCAUCUUCCUCUGGGUAUUUGAGAGAAUCAAGAGAUUCGUGUUUCAGAAUCAGGUGGUGACCACCAUCCCCGUCCCGGUCCUGUCGCCUGGUGAGCUGCGGAAGGAGCACUUAGCCUGAGGACCCCGUGAGCGCGCUGGGCCGGGCCUGCCUACCUCACCGUCCCCAGAGAAAGGCCUUCCAGGACGUUCCGGAACUGAGUCCCCGGACACGUGCAGCAGACAAAGGAUGGUUCUCGGUUACUCUCCACGAAUCCCCCUGACCUCUCGGCCCCAGCCGGGAUCGAGGACUGGGGGUUCCUACGGGCUGUCACCUGACCACUUCUCUGCCUUAGACUGAAAUUUCAGGAGCAAACAUCUUGGAAAGAUUCCCACCUCUAGUCAAGCAGGACUUUCUCUCUCCUGGACAGAGAAACACACACACACACACACACACACACACACACACACACACGCGCAAAUGGAUCACACACACACACACGCAAAUGGAUCACACACACGCAGAUGGAUCACACACACACACACACACACACAUGCGCAAAUGGAUCACAUGUUCGCUCCUGACAUCUCAAUUCCCUUCCUUAUUUCCAGGAGUGAGGGGCUUUCCUGGGGAGAAUGAGGCGCCCCCGCUCAGGAGCAGGCCCAGACAGGGAUAGGGGCGGCUCAAGGACUCCAGACUGUCAGCAGCUCAGCCAGUGGCCCUUUAUCGUGCCCAGCUCUGGUGACCGGGUGCCUUGCCCAUCACCCUCUGCCCGUCCACUCUGACAGCGGCCGAAGUCAGCAGUGCAGUCUGCUUGCCCAGGGCCACAGCCGUGGGAGAGUCGGGGUUAGAACAGCACAUCUUUCUCCCGGCCCUGCCCCAGCAGCCUGGACCUGGCCCCUCUGCCCCAUCCCUGAAAAGGCCACAGAGGAGCCUUUGUUGGCUUCGGUGCCCACCCGUGGGCUUAUCUGCAGGGCUAGCCGGCCUCCCGAUAUCACGCUUCCCUAGACGCAGAACACCCCUCACAGGGAAGAGCUUGUGUCUGGAAGGACAUGUCUGCUAUGUUCAUGACUCAUGUCCACCCUCAGCGUGUGCCUCAGUUUACCUUGGAGGAAACAUUAUUUCCAAAAUACUCCCCCUUUUUUCCCCCUGUGGGAUGGGGACGCCUGGUGGUGUGCAGGGCUUAUCCUAGCUCUGUUCUCAGGGGUCACUCCUGGAGGUUCUUGGGGAACCAUAUGGAGUUCCAGGAUUGAUCACCGCGAGACCAGAGCCUUAACCCACAUACUGUCUCUCCAACACCACAGUACCUUUGGGGGGGUGGGGGAGAGGGAAACCAUCCCUAGUGGUGCUCGGGGCUCAUUCCUGGCUCUGGAUUCAGAAGCUACCCCUGGCAGUGCUCUGGGGACCAUAUGGGAUGCCAGGAAUUGAACCCGGGUAGCUGUGUGCAAGGCAAGUGCCCUGCCUGCUGGACUGUUUCUCUGCCCCAUCCCCCAGCCAGGAACCUUUUUUUCCAGGUUGACUGAGAGUCUCGCAAACAGCUGUUGCAAAGCACUCCAGUGCACUAAACCUUUGCCCUCUCCUUUCACAUUUAGGGCCUCUCAUAGGCAAGAGUUCGUUUGUUUUUUUUCCUUGAGAUUAAAAGGAAAAAUAGUUUCUGGUUUAAAUUACAAGGUAAUGAGAUCCAGAAAGAUGGAUAAGUUCUUUUUUUCUUUUUGGGUCACACCCGCCGAUGCACAGGGGUUACUCCUGGCUCUGCACUCAGGAAUUACUCCUGGCGGUGCUCAGGGGACCCUAUGGGAUGCUGGGAAUCGAACCCGGGUCGGCCGUGUGCAAGGCAAAUAAAUGCCCUACCUGCUGUGCUAUCGCUCCAGCCCCAAAGAUGGCUAAAAGUGUCAGUAAACAUAGCUUUACAUUUUACGACAUGAUCUUCGUGCAAGUUUGUCUAAAGACAAAUGGUAUGUUUUAACUUUCUCAUUAAAAUGCUCAAGGUGGAAGGUUGGUUGGCCUCUUCGGGGAGGUUUGGACAGAGAACGGGGAGCGCAGAGGUGCGCGCGUCUCCGGCUUACUCACCGCAGCACGGCUCUGCCAGCUCCCUCCAGAGACCGGGAGCUUUUGUUAGCUCUUUGGCAAAAGUCCCGGGUCCAAGCCCAAAUAAAUGAGUAUGUGGUGGAAUCCACAGGUCAUGUGGAAACCAGGGACUGGAAAAUUACAACUGCGUUGAGUGAAUAUCAAGUUAUUUACAGAUUAGAUGUUGGUUACUUCUGAACUUGAAUCGCAACGUGUAGUUGAGGGGAGAAAGGGGAGAAAUUGUAGAUAGGUGUGUGUGUGUGUGUGUGU